UUGUUUUGAAAUACAGCUCUAGCUCUUAUUCAUCAUUUCAAUCUGCAGGUGAUUAAGGCCUGCUACCACAUAUUGAUUGAUUGUUUCAAAGUGCUUUUGGGAAUUGGGAUUUGAAUCCUUAUUUAAGAAACUAUGAAACUUCUUUUCUGGCAAUCCCAGCAUGCAUGAUUGGUGGCGUUUGAGCUCUCUACUUUUCAUUGCUAUUUAGCAUGUGACACUGGUCUAUUGCUGUUAGAGUCCCCUGAAACCGCUUGUGUAUCAGAUGUUUGAGUUCCCAAAAAAGGACUUUCUUAGUUAAUACAGGAAUUUACAGGAUACUCAGCUUAAUUCAGAAUUCAUAUGAGGUCACCACCAUGUAGAUAUCCCUGCUUGUCAUUCAACGUACUCUUUAAGUCCCAAAAAAAAAAAAAAAAAAGAAGGUUCAAGUUUUACAUUUUUCUAGUUUGAAAUAUUUGAUGUUGGAGAUUUUUAUUUUUGGUUGUGUUAUAAUUUAUCAAGCUCUCAUUUUCAUUGUAGUAGGCUCACGUUUUCUCGUUAAAAACCAUGGACUAAGAUUCUUUUCCCUUUUUUCCUCAAGGAAAUGUAUUGAUAAUUUAUUUUGUCUUGGCCAAGAAUUUAAAAGUGGCUAAUGGCUUACACUGUUUCCAAAGACUGCAGUUUCUUCAUUCAUUCAGGCAUUUGAAGGACAUGAAAGGCAUACUUUUAGCAUGGAACUGCCAAUUGUAAAUUGCUUCAGCUAUUUAUAAGAUAGACUUCUCUGUUGGUUACAACAAGCAUCCUCUGGAAUUCAUUAUUUACUUGAUCUUUGUUGGAGUUUCGAUAUGCCAUCUGA
Ziziphus jujuba (common jujube) is the source of this 832-nucleotide long non-coding RNA. RefSeq lists it as uncharacterized. The record is from RefSeq and is a predicted model, not a curated record. The transcript has 3 exons. Lineage: Eukaryota; Viridiplantae; Streptophyta; Magnoliopsida; Rosales; Rhamnaceae.